RNAcentral lists this ribosomal RNA (49 nucleotides) under Lactifluus heimii. RNAcentral describes it as "partial 28S ribosomal RNA". Lineage: Eukaryota; Fungi; Basidiomycota; Agaricomycetes; Russulales; Russulaceae. The record is from RNAcentral.
CUGACCUCAAAUCGGGUGAGACUACCCGCUGAACUUAAGCAUAUCAAUA